GCCUUGAUAGCUUAAACUAAAGCACCGGUCUUGUAAGCCGGAGACUGUAGCCUAACCCCUACUCAAGGCU
Molecule: transfer RNA, 70 nt
Filed under: Aquarana catesbeiana (American bullfrog)
Lineage: Eukaryota; Metazoa; Chordata; Amphibia; Anura; Ranidae
Also listed under: 1 other name
Description: Rana catesbeiana (bullfrog) tRNA
Rfam family: tRNA
About the family: Transfer RNA (tRNA) molecules are approximately 80 nucleotides in length. Their secondary structure includes four short double-helical elements and three loops (D, anti-codon, and T loops).
Source: Rfam by way of RNAcentral